AACAGGCUGCUUCCUUGUUCUCUGAGGAAACAUUCAGAAGUCCCUGAGAAUUAUGGCACUCGAUGACCCAGCCAGUGUCUAUACACACACUUCAUCUACUUGAUCUCAUUGGUUCUUUGUAGUCUAGCAUGUGGUAACUCCUUGGAGUCUCACUUGGGCAGAGUCAUAGUCUUAGUAGCACCUGAUAAAACAUUUGUUAUUUUUGCAAUGAAUACAAAACUAUUUUGUUGGGAAUGCUCAAUAAGGUUGUACUUUUCUUAUAACAGAAUACAAGUUAAAUUGUUUACUUAUUUUACUAUACAGUAAAGUAGUGAAGUAUUGGAGUGUGCUGAUAUGUAAUCAAGUGUGUUCUCUGCAGAUCCUGGCCUAUUUCUUGAAAUGAGGAAAAGCUUGACAAAAAUAUCUGUUUGCUCACAGGUUAUGGAUAGAAACUGAGCAAGUUGGCACUUUUACUUAGGGGCUGGGAGAUAAAAAGAAGUGGAAAGUUCUACAUAUUCAUGGAUUGUAGUCCUGAAAGUGUACAGACCAGGUUCACUUGAUCAGAUGUGGAAUGUGGAUGGCAGCAGGAACUAAA
This is a long non-coding RNA of Erpetoichthys calabaricus (reedfish), 574 nucleotides long. RefSeq lists it as uncharacterized. The transcript is spliced from 2 exons. The record is from RefSeq and is a predicted model, not a curated record. NCBI's taxonomy places the organism in Eukaryota, Metazoa, Chordata, Cladistia, Polypteriformes, Polypteridae.